UGGGGGAUAUUGCACAAUGGGCGAAAGCCUGAUGCAGCGACGCCGCGUGGGGGAUGAAGGCCUUCGGGUUGUAAACUUCUUUUGCUCUGAACAAGGCGCACCAUGGGGUGUGUUGAGUGUAGGGGUUGAUUAGCGCCGGCUAACUACGUGCCAGCAGCCGCGGUAAUACGUAGGGCGCGAGCGUUGUCCGGAAUUAUUGGGCGUAAAGGGCUUGUAGGUGGCUGGUUGCGUCUGUCGUGAAAGCUCAUGGCUUAACUGUGGGUUUGCGGUGGGUACGGACUGGCUUGAGUGCAGUAGGGGAGGCUGGAAUUCCUGGUGUAGCGGUGGAAUGCGCAGAUAUCAGGAGGAAUACCGGUGGCGAAGGCGGGUCUCUGGGCUGUUACUGACACUGAGGAGCGAAAGCAUGGGGAGCGAACAGG
Molecule: ribosomal RNA, 419 nt
Filed under: bacterium
Lineage: Bacteria
Description: partial 16S ribosomal RNA
Rfam family: Bacterial small subunit ribosomal RNA
Source: RNAcentral